GAGCUUGCUCUUCGAUUAGCGGCGGACGGGUGAGUAAUGCCUAGGAAUCUGCCUGGUAGUGGGGGACAACGUUUCGAAAGGAACGCUAAUACCGCAUACGUCCUACGGGAGAAAGCAGGGGACCUUCGGGCCUUGCGCUAUCAGAUGAGCCUAGGUCGGAUUACCUAGUUGGUGGGGUAAUGGCUCACCAAGGCGACGAUCCGUAACUGGUCUGAGAGGAUGAUCAGUCACACUGGAACUGAGACACGGUCCAAACUCCUACAGGAGGCAGCAGUGGGGAAUAUUGGACAAUGGGCGAAAGCCUGAUCCAGCCAUGCCGCGUGUGUGAAGAAGGGCUUCAGAUUGUAAAGCACUUUAAGUCGGGAGGAAGGGCAGAAAACGAAUACCUUGCUGUUUUGACGUUACCGACAGAAUAAGCACCGGCUAACUCUGUGCCAGCAGCCGCGGUAAUACAGAGGGUGCAAGCGUUAAUCGGAAUUACUGGGCGUAAAGCGCGCGUACGUGGCUUGUUAAGUUGAAUGUGAAAUCCCCGGGCUCAACCUGGGAACUGCAUCCAAAACUGGCAAGCUAGAGUACGGUAGAGGGUGGAGGAAUUUCCUGUGUACCGCUGAAAUGCGUAGAUAUAGGAAGGAACACCAGUGGCGAAGGCGACCACCUGGACUGAUACUGACACUGAGGUGCCAAAGCGUGGGGAGCAAACAGGAUUACAUACCCUGGUAGUCCACGCCGUAAACGAUGUCAACUAGCCGUUGGAAUCCUUGAGAUUUUAGUGCCGCAUCUAACGCAUUAA
This 790-nucleotide ribosomal RNA is filed under the name Pseudomonas putida. Its description in RNAcentral is "bacterial SSU rRNA". It matches the Rfam family "Bacterial small subunit ribosomal RNA", at positions 76 to 863 of the family's 1533-position model. Lineage: Bacteria; Pseudomonadati; Pseudomonadota; Gammaproteobacteria; Pseudomonadales; Pseudomonadaceae. The record is from RNAcentral.